This 253-nucleotide ribosomal RNA is filed under the name uncultured bacterium. Its description in RNAcentral is "partial 16S ribosomal RNA". It matches the Rfam family "Bacterial small subunit ribosomal RNA", at positions 524 to 776 of the family's 1533-position model. The record is from RNAcentral.
UACGAAGGGUGCAAACGUUGCUCGGAAUCAUUGGGCGUAAAGCGCACGUAGGCGGCUUCGCAAGUCGGAUGUGAAAUCCCUCGGCUCAACCGAGGACGUGCAUCCGAAACUGCGGAGCUUGAGUACUGAAGAGGAUCGCGGAAUUCCCGGUGUAGAGGUGAAAUUCGUAGAUAUCGGGAGGAACACCAGUGGCGAAGGCGGCGAUCUGGGAAGAUACUGACGCUGAGGAGCGAAAGCGUGGGGAGCGAACAGG